CCUACGGGCUGCACCAGUGGGGAAUAUUGCACAAUGGGCGCAAGCCUGAUGCAGCCAUGCCGCGUGUAUGAAGAAGGCCCUAGGGUUGUAAAGUACUUUCAGUCGGGAGGAAGGCGUUGAUGCUAAUAUCAUCAACGAUUGACGUUAUCGACAGAAGAAGCACCGGCUAACUCCGUGCCAGCAGCCUCGGUAAUACGGAGGGUGCAAGCGUUAAUCGGAAUUACUGGGCGUAAAGCGCACGCAGGCGGUUGAUUAAGUUAGAUGUGAAAUCCCCGGGCUUAACCUGGGAAUGGCAUCUAAGACUGGUCAGCUAGAGUCUUGUAGAGGGGGGUGGAAUUCCAUGUGUAGCGGUGAAAUGCGUAGAGAUGUGGAGGAAUACCGGUGGCGAAGGCGGCCCCCUGGACAAGGACUGACGCUCAGGUGCGAAAGCGUGGGGAGCAAACAGGAUUAGAUACCCCCGUAGUC
Molecule: ribosomal RNA, 465 nt
Filed under: uncultured bacterium
Lineage: Bacteria
Description: bacterial SSU rRNA
Rfam family: Bacterial small subunit ribosomal RNA
Source: RNAcentral